This 587-nucleotide ribosomal RNA is filed under the name uncultured bacterium. RNAcentral describes it as "bacterial SSU rRNA". It matches the Rfam family "Bacterial small subunit ribosomal RNA", at positions 338 to 916 of the family's 1533-position model. The record is from RNAcentral.
CCUACGGGGGGCGGCAGUGGGGAAUAUUGGACAAUGGGGGCAACCCUGAUCCAGCAAUGCCGCGUGUGUGAAGAAGGCCUGCGGGUUGUAAAGCACUUUUGUUGAGGAAGAAUGUGUUUAGGUAAAUAGCCUGAACACUUGACGUUACUCAAAGAAUAAGCACCGGCUAACUCCGUGCCAGCAGCCGCGGUAAUACGGAGGGUGCGAGCGUUAAUCGGAAUUACUGGGCGUAAAGCGUGCGUAGGCGGAUGUUUAAGUCUGUUGUGAAAUCCCCGGGCUCAACCUGGGAAUGGCAUUGGAUACUGGGCAUCUAGAGUGUGGUAGAGGGUAGUGGAAUUUCUGGUGUAGCGGUGAAAUGCGUAGAUAUCAGAAAGAACACCAAUGGCGAAGGCAACUACCUGGGCCAACACUGACGCUGAGGUACGAAAGCGUGGGGAGCAAACAGGAUUAGAUACCCUGGUAGUCCACGCCCUAAACGAUGUCGACUUGUCGUUGGGAGGGCUAAACCUUUCAGUGACGGAGCUAACGCGUUAAGUCGACCGCCUGGGGAGUACGGCCGCAAGGUUGAAACUUAAAGGAAUUGACGG